Molecule: long non-coding RNA, 559 nt
Organism: Diceros bicornis minor
Lineage: Eukaryota; Metazoa; Chordata; Mammalia; Perissodactyla; Rhinocerotidae
Exons: 3
Source: RefSeq, a predicted model, not a curated record
UGAUCUGCUGCUGCUGAUCCCUUCCCAAACCCUGCAAUCCCAACCAGAAGGAAGCCGGUUCCUGCAGGCUAUAGAAUACCAGAAAAGAUAACUGCGAGACGCAAUCUCCUUUUUCUUUUUCCUCGGUGCCACUUUAUCUGGGCGUUUGUGACUACGCAGCCAUCCUCACUGCACGCGCUGCCAGAGCAGAAAGGGCUUUUUUAUGCUGUGGAGCCAAAGGGGUCACGCUGCGGGCAGCUAGCGGACCCCCCAAGAAUUGUUUUCCAGCUCCAUUACUGGAUGUUCCCGUGACUAUAGCUGUGAGCUCAGAACGGCCGCGACUUCCUCUGAAUAGAUUUGUGUGUUCAAAGGACAGGGCCUCAUCCUGUUACACCAUCCUCACAAGGACUGCAUGGCUCACGCUCCCGAGAUGUACAUAGCUGAUAUGAUCUUGUACAGCCCGGAACCACCUGACUAGCAUGUGGAACCCAAGAAGCAUUCUGCAAAUAUUGUUUUCAAUGAAUAAAUGAACUAAUGAACUUUUGCUCUCUUCUGUAAUAACAAUAAAUAUAAUAUCUGA